UGUUAUUUCGCGUAUUAUUACAAGAUUAUUUUCAUUUCCCUCAGGUCAUACUUAGUUGUGCUGUCGUUUCUGUGAAUUUAACUUUGAAUUUGAACCACAUGGUUUUAUUUAGUACGUUAUAUUAAACGUUAGCUAAACUGACUAAUCUGAGCUAUGUUGCUAUAUUAUAUUACUUUUUGUUUUUAUUUAUUUAGUAGGCCUAGUAUAAUCAUAAUAUAUAAAUUUUUGACAUUUAAGAAGAAUAUACUUGGUUUGUAUUCCUGAAAAAUUGGCGAGUACCUCGUGUUACCAACAAUCAAUGUUGGGAACUCCCUUCAACUUCUGGACCAUGAAAAACAUCUGCUGAGAACUUGCAGAACAGACUUUUUUUUUCUGCCAGGAUCAAGAAAAAGAGAAAAAGCUACAUCUGUGACCACCCAAACACGGAAGUAACCAGGACACACCUGGAGUCAUAAACUGUGGCAAAGGGCCAAACCUUUGGAUCAUAUGCGGAUAGAGAGGCAAUACCUGAAGCACAAUUCCUGGUGACCCAUGAGUGGAUGAAAGAAACCGAGAGAGAAAGAGGGUCUGAACAGUUUGUUCACCCGGGUGAAGGCUAGAAGAUCAAGUUCCUGAAGGAAUGUUGCCAUAGCAGUGUUAGAAUGGAUUGCUUUUGUCGGGUGGAGCUCAGAUGUGGUCAUUACGGAAAGAUCCUUCAUCUUACCUGCCGGGGGGUUCGUGCUCCGUCCCAGGACUUGACCAAUCAUUAAUAAAGAUGACGAGUCCAAAUUUGACAUUCUUGUUGGAAAUCACGGACGCCGUGUCCUCCGGGCUAAAGAGGAGGGAGACCUUCCAGCGUGUUAUCAGCGUUCAGUUCAAAAUCCAGCAUCUCUGAUAGUAUGGGGGUGCAUAAGUGCAUACGGUAUGGGCAGCCUGCAUGUUUUGGAAGGCACUAUCAAUGCUGAAGGUAUAUAAAGGUUUUAGAGCAACAUAUGCUCCCCUCCAGAUGACAUCUAUUUCAUGGAAGGACUUGUGUAUUCCAGCAGGACAAUGCAAAACCACAUACUGCAGCUAUUACAACAGCAUGGCUUCGUCGCAGAAGAGUCCGGGUGCUGAAUUGGCCUGCCUGCAGUCCAGAUGGCACAUCAUUAAACGAAAAAUACGUCAAAGACGACCACGAACUCUUCAGCAGCUGGAAACCUAUAUCAGGCAAGAAUGGGACCAAAUUUCAACACCAAAACUCCAGAAACUCAUAACCUCGAUGCCCAGACGUCUUCGCACUGUUUUGAAAAGAAGAGGAGAUGCUACACCGUGGUAAACAUGCCCCCGUCCCAACUAUUUUGAGACCUGUAGCAGGCAUCAAAUUUGAAAUGAGCUCAUUUAGUGGAUAAAAGUGUAAAAUUUCUCCGUUUAAACAUUUGUUAUGUUAUCUAUGUUCUAUUGUGAAUAAAAUAUUGGCUCAUGUGAUUUGAAAGUCUUUUAGUUUUCAUUUUAUUCAAAUUUAAAAAAUGUCCCAACAUUUCCGGAAUUCGAGUUGUAUUUUGUUUAAAAUAAUUCUGUAAUGCAAAUGACUGAUGGAAAUUUUAGAAUAAGAUGUCCGGCUCCUUAAUCCUGAUAAGGCUAAUUUUAUAGUUAUCACU
This is a long non-coding RNA of Ctenopharyngodon idella (grass carp), 1619 nucleotides long. RefSeq lists it as uncharacterized. The transcript is spliced from 6 exons. The record is from RefSeq and is a predicted model, not a curated record. Lineage: Eukaryota; Metazoa; Chordata; Actinopteri; Cypriniformes; Xenocyprididae.